ACAAAGUACAGUAAUUACUCAUUUAACACGUGGCUGCUUAACACGUUUUCGUAAUAGCACACUAUUUUUUGAGGGAACGUUUUUCAAAAAACACAAAAAUAAUCAAGUGGUGGACUAUUUCGUGGGGCGGUAUAGUUGGUGCAAACAGUGGUAAUACACAUGAGCGGAUGAAUACACGUGGUCACAGUGCUCCUCCGCACACUCACGUGUUUAUCUUUCUGUUUUAACAAACCGCAGCGACUUGUGUUGCUAGAUAUCUAAUGUUGAUGUUGACGACCUAACACCAACAAAAAAUUGACUUUGCCACCACCAUCUGAAACACAACCUCCACCUUUUCCAUUAUUUUUAAUAGGAAAAUUGACCCCGCAUAGCACGUUUUCGUUUAGCACGAACAUUCUCAGAAAAGCAUCUGUAGCGUUAAAUGAUGAAUUACUGUAUUUUGCAUGAAGAUCUGAUAACAGUAAUUCUUUACACUGUGUCAUUAGAAUUACUAUAGGAAUAGUUAUAAAAUUCAAGUUAUUUUCUUAAACCAAACAGAUUUGUUUUCCAGUUUGUGGUUAGUUGGAAGAAGGCCCUAAUUAGCAAAUAAAAGGAGGCUGGGAAAAUAAUGAGUUAUAAAACCAGAAUGUAACGUGGGAUGCAAAACUAAAUUAAUAAAACACCCAAGAAGAAAGCACACAAUUUCCCAUUGUUCUACUGGUAAACUCAUAGGAGGGGAAAUUAUAAAAUGGAAAGGCCGGGGGGGAAGGGGCGAGGAGGAAGGGGAAGUGAAUUUUGUCAAACUAGGUUUUGUUAAAGUUAGCAAAUGAACAAUGAAAUUCUUUGCUGAAAGAGAGAAAAAGCCAUAAAUCUGGGCAUUCUUUAUCAGCUCUAAUUCAAUUUUGCUGGAAAAAAAAAAUCAAGAUGAGAGGACUAUUCUCUGGUCUGGUCAUUUUGUAAGUAAGAGCUACAGAUACAGGUUGAAACUUUCUUAAUCGGAAAUCUCUAGUCUAGCAAUAGCCAUGGCCUGGCAUGGAGGUUACAGGAUCCAGAGAGUCCUAGUGGCGAGCCAGCAGGGAGCUGCCUGUGGAAGCCCCGACAUGUGCAGAUGCCAACAAGCUGGUAGGGCAGUGGGGUGAAGGAGGCAGGGAGUGAGCUGGGAGGACAGAGGCCCGGCCAGGGGUGCCAGUGGCAAGGGUCUAAAAAUUACCUCCAGUGCAAAAUCCCUCAUUUGGGACCAGUCAGAUUCUGAGGGUGCCGCACCAAGGAGGUCCAACCUGUACUUAGAAAUGUUUUGUUACUAUAGUGGAGGUAAUAAAUUGUUUUUUUUUGGAAGACAUGUCUGAAGUAAUUGUAUAAAUACUAUUCAACCUUUGGAUUUAAUAAAAAUGUCUGAUAUGUUAUUGUCUAAUGGUACCCCACAUUAAUAAUAUUCAUAAAUACCUCAUACUCCCUCUGAGCAUUUUUAGCAGAACAGUUAAACAUACAAACAUCCACAGGAACCUUAUCUCUUAUGGAUUUACACCACGGCUACCAUCAGUGAAAAUGCUAAAUGUCGGGGUUAGUGCAGACACAGCAGCAGCGCUAAGUAUGUAAUGACAUACACAAGCCACUCAUCUAUGGAAAGGAAAAGUGUCAGUGAAGAGCAAGUGGAAAGAUUUCAUCAGGAUAUCAAGAUGAUGGAAAAGAGAUAUCAAGGAAGCUGGGAUGUCAACAUGAUGGCUGAUUACUGCUGGUUCCUAAAAAGAGAGACUGAUGGUGAAAUGCAUAAAAAGUUGUCAAAAAA
Molecule: non-coding RNA, 1765 nt
Organism: Pelodiscus sinensis (Chinese soft-shelled turtle)
Lineage: Eukaryota; Metazoa; Chordata; Testudines; Trionychidae
Source: RefSeq, a predicted model, not a curated record